RNAcentral lists this ribosomal RNA (159 nucleotides) under Tripyla sp. RAQ-2009. RNAcentral describes it as "partial 18S ribosomal RNA". It matches the Rfam family "Eukaryotic small subunit ribosomal RNA", at positions 1237 to 1415 of the family's 1831-position model. The record is from RNAcentral. Lineage: Eukaryota; Metazoa; Nematoda; Enoplea; Triplonchida; Tripylidae.
GGAUUGACAGAUUGAGAGCUCUUUCUCUGAUUCGGUGGGUGGUGGUGCAUGGCCGUUCUUAGUUGGUGGAUCGAUUUGUCUGGUUAAUUCCGAUAACGAACGAGACUCUGGCCUACUAAACUGGACACUUGACUUGGUUUGUCGAUGGCCCUUCUUAGA